AUUGAACGCUGGCGGCAGGCCUAACACAUGCAAGUCGAACGAGUGGCGGACGGGUGAGUAAUGUCUGGGAAACUGCCUGAUGGAGGGGGAUAACUACUGGAAACGGUAGCUAAUACCGCAUACCAUCAGAUGUGCCCAGAUGGGAUUAGCUAGUUGGUGGGGUAACGGCUCACCAAGGCGACGCUCCCUAGCUGGUCUGAGAGGAUGACCAGCCACACUGGACUGGAGACACGGUCCAUACUCCUCCGAGAGGAAGCAGUGGGGAAUAUUGCACAAUGGGCGCAAGCCUGAUGCAGCCAUGCCGCGUGUAUGAAGAAGGCCUUCGGGUUGUAAAGUACUUUCAGCGGGGAGGCGUUACCCGCUGAAGAAGCGCCGGCUAACUCCGUGCCAGCAGCCGCGUUAAUUC
RNAcentral lists this ribosomal RNA (406 nucleotides) under uncultured bacterium. RNAcentral's name for it is "partial 16S ribosomal RNA". It matches the Rfam family "Bacterial small subunit ribosomal RNA", at positions 30 to 526 of the family's 1533-position model. The record is from RNAcentral.